This 253-nucleotide ribosomal RNA is filed under the name uncultured bacterium. RNAcentral describes it as "partial 16S ribosomal RNA". It matches the Rfam family "Bacterial small subunit ribosomal RNA", at positions 524 to 776 of the family's 1533-position model. The record is from RNAcentral.
UACGUAGGUGGCGAGCGUUGUCCGGAUUUACUGGGCGUAAAGGGAGCGUAGGCGGACUUUUAAGUGAGAUGUGAAAUACUCGGGCUCAGCUUGAGUGCUGCAUUUCAAACUGGAAGUCUAGAGUGCAGGAGAGGAGAAUGGAAUUCCUAGUGUAGCGGUGAAAUGCGUAGAUAUACGGAGGAACACCAGUGGCGAAGGCGGCCUGCUGGACAAUAACUGACGCUGAGGCGCGAAAGCGUGGGGAGCAAACAGG